This is a long non-coding RNA of Vigna unguiculata (cowpea), 1405 nucleotides long. The record is from RefSeq and is a predicted model, not a curated record. NCBI's taxonomy places the organism in Eukaryota, Viridiplantae, Streptophyta, Magnoliopsida, Fabales, Fabaceae.
ACUUUCGCACCUCACAUGCAGAAGACUCUCUAUGCACACACAACUUCAGUAGUCUUUGCAAUCAACACCCUCUUUGUCGUGUCACUGUCCUCGUCUUCGACGCUCGUCGCUGUCCUCGUCAAGGACGCUUGUCGCCGUCCUUGCAGUGACCCUCCCCUGCAACUCUGUUCUUCUACUUGUUUUCUCACUGCAUUUGUUCUGCUCCCUUUUUUCCCUGCUCACGUCAAACCCUAACAUCGCAAAACGAUGGAAGAUCGACUUGGUGAUAGAUAGCCAUUUCCGACAAGUUUCUCGCUCUCGCUCAACCUUCAUGCGUCACCAGAUUCGUCGCCGAAUUGACUUCUCGCUGGCAAAGGUCGGUACGUGGCGCCGGAAACCCCUGACUUCCCAGCCAUCUCAAGGGAAGGCACGAAGCUACGAAGUCGCCUCGCCGAAGAGGUCACUGUUGUUGGCGUCAGCAAAUCAAAACUCCAGCAGCGGUCUCAACGAGAACUGCCCCGCGUCAGCCGCCGACCGUUCCUUCCCCGAAGACGGCAAUGUCAUCUGUUCGUUUCUCAGUGUCAAACCCUCACUGUCACCGGUGUCGGCGAUCUGAGCUUGUUCUCUAACUGAGAAGCUUAGUGACAUACGGUGUCAGCCUGAGUCACAGCCAAGUUUAUUACUUAGGCCUGGCUUCAAGUAAUUUAUUGUUUUUUUAGUGUUUUUGGGGUGAAAUAGAUGGCUUCCUUCCUAGUAAUUGUUUCAUGUUUUCAGAUAUAGUAAUUGUUUCAUGUUUUCAGAUAAUUGAGUGUAGAAGAGUACUGAAAUGGACAUACACAUAUGGGUUCUACUUACCCGAGCAUAAACAUGGGAAAAAAACAGUUCUUUGAGUACUUGCAAGGUGAAGCAGAAUCUGGUAUGGAGAGACUUCAUCAAUGUGUGGAAAAGGAACUUCUGCCAUUCCUAUGUCUGAUGAGCCCAUCUAAUCUAGAGAGUUCAAUGAUUUUCGCACUAAACUAGCUGGAUUGACGGAGGAAAAAAAGAUAUCAAAAUUGGAAGAGGUAGUUAAUGACAUCAAGGAGGAAGAGAGAGAAAAAAAAUCCUAAAAUACCAAAGAGUUCCAAUGUUGGUGUAGGUGAUCGUUGUCAGAGAAGAUUGGUGUUGAUCCACCACACGUAGGGUGAAGCAAGAGGAUGCUUAAUUUUAAAUGACGUGUGAAGGAGUGUGGUUUCUUCAAUGGAUGUGAUUCUUACUGUGUGGAGAUCACCUGGCUAAGAUGAUAAAAAUGGUGUGGUCCUCGAUCAGAAUUAUCACUGGAACCGAUGAUGGUGAUGGCUGACAAUGGUCACAAUGACAACGAUUGCGGUGGCAAGGGCAACAAAAAAAUGCCAAAAAAGCUCUAAAUGCAAUGUUAAAUAUAGAGAAA